GGGGGGGAGAUGCGAAGACGAGAGAAAGAGAGCGAGGAAAAAUGGGAGGGGCGAGAAAGCUAUUUCUUUCUUGCCCCUUCCAUUUUUCCUCGCUCUCUUUCUCUCCCCUUCGCAUUCCUCCUCUA
This 125-nucleotide microRNA precursor is filed under the name Paramuricea clavata. The record is from RNAcentral. Lineage: Eukaryota; Metazoa; Cnidaria; Anthozoa; Malacalcyonacea; Plexauridae.